RNAcentral lists this RNase P RNA (364 nucleotides) under Mucilaginibacter pineti. RNAcentral describes it as "Bacterial RNase P class A". It matches the Rfam family "Bacterial RNase P class A". From Rfam's summary of the family: Ribonuclease P (RNase P) is a ubiquitous endoribonuclease, found in archaea, bacteria and eukarya as well as chloroplasts and mitochondria. Its best characterised activity is the generation of mature 5'-ends of tRNAs by cleaving the 5'-leader elements of precursor-tRNAs. Lineage: Bacteria; Pseudomonadati; Bacteroidota; Sphingobacteriia; Sphingobacteriales; Sphingobacteriaceae. The record is from RNAcentral.
GUUCUAUCGCCGCCAACUUGUUUGGCGGAGGAAAGUCCGGGCAACACAGAGCAUCCUGCUUCCUAACGGGAAGGCGCCGGCAGCCGGCGACAGCAAAGUGCCACAGAAAAGAUACCGCCCCGGUUUUAAUUGGGGUAAGGGUGAAAAUGUGAGGUAAGAGCUCACAACAUUGCCGGGCGACCGGGGAUGAUGGUAAACCUCAGGAGUUGAAAAACCAAAUAGGUCCUGAAAGCGGAGCUGCUCGCUCCCGUGUUACGUAUACGUAGCCGUUAGGAUGGGUAGGUUGUUUAAACCUGUCAGCAAUGGCAGGGCCAGAUUAAUGAUAGAAACUGCCCGUUAAACGGCAGUACAGAACCCGGCUUAC